GAUGAACGCUGGCGGCGUGCCUAAUACAUGCAAGUCGAGCGAACAGACGAGGAGCUUGCUCCUCUGACGUUAGCGGCGGACGGGUGAGUAACACGUGGAUAACCUACCUAUAAGACUGGGAUAACUUCGGGAAACCGGAGCUAAUACCGGAAAAUAUAUUGAACCGCAAGGUUCAAUAGUGAAAGACGGUUUUGCUGUCACUUAUAGAUGGAUCCGCGCCGCAUUAGCUAGUUGGUAAGGUAACGGCUUACCAAGGCAACGAUGCGUAGCCGACCUGAGAGGGUGAUCGGCCACACUGGAACUGAGACACGGUCCAGACUCCUACGGGAGGCAGCAGUAGGGAAUCUUCCGCAAUGGGCGAAAGCUUGACGGAGCAACGCCGCGUGAGUGAUGAAGGUCUUCGGAUCGUAAAACUCUGUUAUUAGGGAAGAACAAAUGUGUAAGUAACUAUGCACGUCUUGACGGUACCUAAUCAGAAAGCCACGGCUAACUACGUG
RNAcentral lists this ribosomal RNA (497 nucleotides) under uncultured bacterium. RNAcentral's name for it is "partial 16S ribosomal RNA". It matches the Rfam family "Bacterial small subunit ribosomal RNA", at positions 28 to 507 of the family's 1533-position model. The record is from RNAcentral.